Long non-coding RNA from Chinchilla lanigera (long-tailed chinchilla), 992 nucleotides. RefSeq lists it as uncharacterized. The record is from RefSeq and is a predicted model, not a curated record. NCBI's taxonomy places the organism in Eukaryota, Metazoa, Chordata, Mammalia, Rodentia, Chinchillidae. The transcript has 2 exons.
UCUUCCUAAAGACUACUGUGUCUUUUUCCUGCCACCCUGGCCACCCUCCUGCCAGCUGACACAAGACCAGCUCUGCUCUUUUCUGCAUCACCCACACCCCGAAGGAGGGCCCUUUUGCACGCUGGGGACUGUCAACACGGUUGCAGACUGCAUAACCAGACAACAUGACAGCCCUGUGGCCUCGCGCCCUGGCCUGGGAGCGAGGAGGAGGUAUCCACUUCCAGAGCAACAAGUGCCCCACAAGUGCCUCUGCUGACACCACCCUCCUGCAGGCCCACGACCUCUAGUGACCAGGACGGAGCUGCCACCAUGACUUCCGCCGUGUGACGGGGCAAAGCCCCUGGCCCUGUUAGCCCCUGGGGAGCUUCUCCAGGCCUACAGCAGCUUAAGCGGCAGGGCCCCUGCUGGACAGUGCUGCCCAGGGUUUGGGUGUUCUGACCCUCUUGCCCUUCGCAGCCCUCAACACAGGGACCAUGGUCAUCCCCCUCGAUGGCUGAGGAAACUGAGGCACAGGGCCGCUGGGGGAUUUGCGUCCAGCCUGCGGGGGUGGGCUCUGCAAACGGGCUGUCUGGCUGCAAAGUCCCUGCUCCUGGGGAAUGAGGAAUGUCCAGGCUUCCUGCACCACCCUGGCAAUGCUACCCAACUACACCUCAAGUUUCCUCCCCACCCCGGGCCUAGGCACUCCGUGCAACCCAAGCUCUCAACCCCCACCAACCAGGUUGCCCUUCGGUCAAGACUGUCUGGCGAGAUUUGGCCAUUUUCCUUGAAAACGCAUGGUUCCUUCAGAGGGGACAACACGUGAUGGUGGCCAGGGAGGUUCAGAGAGGCCAAGAGUAUUUCCUGAGGUCACACAGCAAGCCUGGGCCUGCUCCCGCACCCUGGUCCCCCAAGGAACGGCGUUUCCUCCCAUCCUGGCUGGGAAGGGCUGAGGUUUGGGCAGGAAACCACACUUCCUCCUCAGGGCACCUUGUGGGACGCCCAGACCACGGGGA